Molecule: ribosomal RNA, 259 nt
Filed under: uncultured bacterium
Lineage: Bacteria
Description: partial 16S ribosomal RNA
Rfam family: Bacterial small subunit ribosomal RNA
Source: RNAcentral
GAGUCGCAAACUCGCGAGAGUAAGCUAAUCUCUUAAAGCCGUUCUCAGUUCGGACUGUAGGCUGCAACUCGCCUACACGAAGUCGGAAUCGCUAGUAAUCGCGGAUCAGCAUGCCGCGGUGAAUACGUUCCCGGGCCUUGUACACACCGCCCGUCACACCAUGGGAGUUUGUAACGCCCAAAGUCGGUGGCCUAACCUUUAUAGGAGUCAGCCGUCUAAGGUAGGACAGAUGAUUAGGGUGAAGUCGUAACAAGGUAUC